UCCGGCUUGUCACCGGCAGUUUCUCCAAAGUGCCCAGCUUAACCUGAUGGCAACUGGAGACGAGGGUUGCGCUCGUUGCGGGACUUAACCCAACAUCUCACGACACGAGCUGACGACAGCCAUGCAGCACCUGUGUUGGCUCCGGCCGAACCGAAGGCUCCGUCUCUGGAGCCGGCGAGCCACAAGUCAAGGGCUGGUAAGGUUCUUCGCGUUGCGUCGAAUUGAACCACAUGCUCCACCGCUUGUGCGGGCCCCCGUCAAUUCCUUUGAGUUUCAAUCUUGCGAUCGUACUUCCCAGGUGGAUAACUUAAUGCUUUCGCUCAGACACUAACAGUGUAUCGCUAAUGUCGAGUUAUCAUCGUUUAGGGCGUGGACUAC
Molecule: unclassified non-coding RNA, 378 nt
Filed under: uncultured Alphaproteobacteria bacterium
Lineage: Bacteria; Pseudomonadati; Pseudomonadota; Alphaproteobacteria
Description: contains 16S-23S intergenic spacer region
Source: RNAcentral